AGAGUUUGAUCAUGGCUCAGAAUCAACGCUGGCGGCGCGCUUAACACAUGCAAGUCGAACGAGAAAGUGGAGCAAUCCAUGAGUACAGUGGCGUACGGGUGAGUAACACGUGGGUGAUCUACCUCUUAGUGAGGAAUAACCCUGGGAAACCGGGGCUAAUACCGCAUAAGCCUGAGAAGGGAAAGCAGCAAUGCGCUGAGAGAGGAGCCCGCGGCCGAUUAGCUAGUUGGUGAGGUAAGAGCCCACCAAGGCAUAGAUCGGUAGCCGGCCUGAGAGGGCACACGGCCACACUGGCACUGAAACACGGGCCAGACUCCUACGGGAGGCAGCAGUGGGGAAUCUUGCACAAUGGGGGCAACCCUGAUGCAGCGACGCCGCGUGAGCGAUGAAGCCCUUCGGGGUGUAAAGCUCUUUCGGCAGGGAAGAUAGUGACGGUACCUGCAGAAGCAGCUGCGGCUAACUACGUGCCAGCAGCCGCGGUAAUACGUAGGCAGCAAGCGUUGUUCGGAGUUACUGGGCGUAAAGGGUGUGUAGGCGGUUCUUUAAGUUUGGUGUGAAAUCUCCCGGCUCAACCGGGAGGGUGCGCCGAAUACUGAGGGACUAGAGUGUGGGAGAGGAAAGUGGAAUUCCUGGUGUAGCGGUGAAAUGCGUAGAUAUCAGGAGGAACACCGGUGGUGUAGACGGCUUUCUGGACCAUAACUGACGCUGAGACACGAAAGCGUGGGUAGCAAACAGGAUUAGAUACCCUAGUAGUCC
This 756-nucleotide ribosomal RNA is filed under the name uncultured bacterium. RNAcentral's name for it is "bacterial SSU rRNA". It matches the Rfam family "Bacterial small subunit ribosomal RNA", at positions 8 to 796 of the family's 1533-position model. The record is from RNAcentral.